This 1501-nucleotide ribosomal RNA is filed under the name Geobacillus thermoleovorans. RNAcentral's name for it is "bacterial SSU rRNA". It matches the Rfam family "Bacterial small subunit ribosomal RNA". Lineage: Bacteria; Bacillati; Bacillota; Bacilli; Caryophanales; Anoxybacillaceae. The record is from RNAcentral.
GUUUAACGCUGGCGGCGUGCUUAAUACAUGCAAGUCGAGCGGACCAAAUCGGAGCUUGCUCUGAUUUGGUCAGCGGCGGACGGGUGAGUAACACGUGGGCAACCUGCCCGCAAGACCGGGAUAACUCCGGGAAACCGGAGCUAAUACCGGAUAACACCGAAGACCGCAUGGUCUUUGGUUGAAAGGCGGCCUUUGGCUGUCACUUGCGGAUGGGCCCGCGGCGCAUUAGCUAGUUGGUGAGGUAACGGCUCACCAAGGCGACGAUGCGUAGCCGGCCUGAGAGGGUGACCGGCCACACUGGGACUGAGACACGGCCCAGACUCCUACGGGAGGCAGCAGUAGGGAAUCUUCCGCAAUGGGCGAAAGCCUGACGGAGCGACGCCGCGUGAGCGAAGAAGGCCUUCGGGUCGUAAAGCUCUGUUGUGAGGGACGAAGGAGCGCCGUUCGAAGAGGGCGGCGCGGUGACGGUACCUCACGAGGAAGCCCCGGCUAACUACGUGCCAGCAGCCGCGGUAAUACGUAGGGGGCGAGCGUUGUCCGGAAUUAUUGGGCGUAAAGCGCGCGCAGGCGGUUCCUUAAGUCUGAUGUGAAAGCCCACGGCUCAACCGUGGAGGGUCAUUGGAAACUGGGGGACUUGAGUGCAGGAGAGGAGAGCGGAAUUCCACGUGUAGCGGUGAAAUGCGUAGAGAUGUGGAGGAACACCAGUGGCGAAGGCGGCUCUCUGGCCUGCAACUGACGCUGAGGCGCGAAAGCGUGGGGAGCAAACAGGAUUAUGAUACCCUGGUAGUCCACGCCGUAAACGAUGAGUGCUAAGUGUUAGAGGGGUCACACCCUUUAGUGCUGCAGCUAACGCGAUAAGCACUCCGCCUGGGGAGUACGGCCGCAAGGCUGAAACUCACAGGAAUUGACGGGGGCCCGCACAAGCGGUGGAGCAUUUUGUUUAAUUCGAAGCAACGCGAAGAACCUUACCAGGUCUUGACAUCCCCUGACAACCCAAGAGAUUGGGCGUUCCCCCUUCGGGGGGACAGGGUGACAGGUGGUGCAUGGUUGUCGUCAGCUCGUGUCGUGAGAUGUUGGGUUAAGUCCCGCAACGAGCGCAACCCUCGCCUCUAGUUGCCAGCACGAAGGUGGGCACUCUAGAGGGACUGCCGGCGACAAGUCGGAGGAAGGUGGGGAUGACGUCAAAUCAUCAUGCCCCUUAUGACCUGGGCUACACACGUGCUACAAUGGGCGGUACAAAGGGCUGCGAACCCGCGAGGGGGAGCGAAUCCCAAAAAGCCGCUCUCAGUUCGGAUUGCAGGCUGCAACUCGCCUGCAUGAAGCCGGAAUCGCUAGUAAUCGCGGAUCAGCAUGCCGCGGUGAAUACGUUCCCGGGCCUUGUACACACCGCCCGUCACACCACGAGAGCUUGCAACACCCGAAGUCGGUGAGGCAACCCGCAAGGGAGCCAGCCGCCGAAGGUGGGGCAAGUGAUUGGGGUGAAGUCGUAACAGGGUAACCA